Long non-coding RNA from Pieris brassicae (large cabbage white), 839 nucleotides. RefSeq lists it as uncharacterized. The record is from RefSeq and is a predicted model, not a curated record. The transcript is spliced from 3 exons. NCBI's taxonomy places the organism in Eukaryota, Metazoa, Arthropoda, Insecta, Lepidoptera, Pieridae.
AGAUAAAUUCAUUUAGUUUAAAAACAUAUUGACAUCUAGUAAAACGCAAAAUAUAGUGUUAAGAAAAUAUUUAAAUAUCAAAAGGUUAAAUCUGAACCCCGUAAAAUCAAAAUUAAUUUAAUUUCGAAUAGAUCUGUUUCCUACACCAGCUGCCCGGCACACUACAUUCAUCUUAGUAUCCACUUAAGAACAUACAAUUUCUCUUCAAAGUUCCCAAUUAAAUUCCAUCCAAGCAUCCGUAGAUUAUAAACAGAUAUGCCGCCUCGUCAGGACCUGAUCAUCCAACCGAGCCGGUUCCAGGUGGAGCAGACCCGCACACCCCCUCCCCCUCCCCCCGGUCGUCUUCAGAGGCCCCCCCACGACCACCCCUCCACUUACAUCGCCUCGCAAACAAGACGGAAUACUGCCGCUGCCACACGAACCAACUAGAGGUUUUAACAUCGAAUUUGCUGUUAUAACCUGUCUGUACUAAACAUGAAAUUAAAAUGAUGAGAAAACAGCAAGAAUAGUGAAGGCAUUGUUAUGGAAAUCUAAAUUUUAUGAGUGCUUCAACUAUAGAUAGGAAUGAAUUAUUGAUACAAUUAGGUUAGUUUUAACGGCCGUAAAAUUAAUGGAAAUACAGGCUGCAGUCGUACGAAAUACAUAUGUAUGUAUAUUGUAUAUAGAAACAUGUCUGUCUUUAGGUUUCUGGCUUUUUUAAUCAUAUUUGCGAAUUCCGACUGUAUUAUGUAAAUUAUGUGGUAAUAGCUAUUUGUACAUAAGCCAUUUUAAGUAAGUGUAGAAUAUGUGUAGACUAUUAUUGAUAUAAACAUAUAAUAAAUAGUUUUAUCAAAAAUAAU